Molecule: ribosomal RNA, 631 nt
Filed under: uncultured Actinomycetes bacterium
Lineage: Bacteria; Bacillati; Actinomycetota; Actinomycetes
Description: bacterial SSU rRNA
Rfam family: Bacterial small subunit ribosomal RNA
Source: RNAcentral
CGCGGCCUAUCAGCUUGUUGGUGGGGUGAUGGCCUACCAAGGCGACGACGGGUAGCCGGCCUGAGAGGGCGACCGGCCACACUGGGACUGAGACACGGCCCAGACUCCUACGGGAGGCAGCAGUGGGGAAUAUUGCACAAUGGGCGGAAGCCUGAUGCAGCGACGCCGCGUGAGGGAUGACGGCCUUCGGGUUGUAAACCUCUUUCAGCAGGGACGAAGCGCAAGUGACGGUACCUGCAGAAGAAGCGCCGGCCAACUACGUGCCAGCAGCCGCGGUAAGACGUAGGGCGCGAGCGUUGUCCGGAUUUAUUGGGCGUAAAGAGCUCGUAGGCGGCUUGUCGCGUCGACUGUGAAAACCCACAGCUCAACUGUGGGCUUGCAGUCGAUACGGGCAGGCUAGAGUUCGGUAGGGGAGACUGGAAUUCCUGGUGUAGCGGUGAAAUGCGCAGAUAUCAGGAGGAACACCGGUGGCGAAGGCGGGUCUCUGGGCCGAAACUGACGCUGAGGAGCGAAAGCGUGGGGAGCGAACAGGAUUAGAUACCCUGGUAGUCCACGCUGUAAACGUUGGGCGCUAGGUGUGGGGGGCCUCUCCGGUUCUCUGUGCCGCAGCUAACGCAUUAAGCGCCCCGCC